AUGCAGUCAAGACAGUCCCUUCCUUCAAGCAGUAGACAAAACUAUGACUCAAGACACAAGAUUCAGUCUUUCAACAAGUUGAAAUGCUCCUUAUUGAGACUGGCUGUACAGCAGAGCAGCUGCAGUAGAAGUACAUUUGUCCUCUUGGAUAGAGUGUAUUGUGGAUUCACUGUAUACCAACAUUUUCUAAGAACUACUUAUUUUGAAACUCACCUUCAGAGUAAAAAAAGUAAAUAA
This is a long non-coding RNA of Meleagris gallopavo (turkey), 237 nucleotides long. The record is from Ensembl. NCBI's taxonomy places the organism in Eukaryota, Metazoa, Chordata, Aves, Galliformes, Phasianidae.